CGUAGGGGGCAAGCGUUGUCCGGAAUUAUUGGGCGUAAAGCGCGUGCAGGCGGCGGAUUAAGUCGGAUGUUUAAGAUCGGGGCUCAACCCCGAUUCGCAUCCGAAACUGGUCCGCUUGAGUGUAGGAGAGGAAAGUGGAAUUCCACGUGUAGCGGUGAAAUGCGUAGAGAUGUGGAGGAACACCAGUGGCGAAGGCGACUUUCUGGCCUAUAACUGACGCUGAGGCGCGAAAGCGUGGGGAGCAAACAGGAUU
RNAcentral lists this ribosomal RNA (253 nucleotides) under uncultured bacterium. Its description in RNAcentral is "partial 16S ribosomal RNA". It matches the Rfam family "Bacterial small subunit ribosomal RNA", at positions 526 to 779 of the family's 1533-position model. The record is from RNAcentral.